Molecule: ribosomal RNA, 492 nt
Filed under: uncultured bacterium
Lineage: Bacteria
Description: partial 16S ribosomal RNA
Rfam family: Bacterial small subunit ribosomal RNA
Source: RNAcentral
AGUGAACGCUGGCGGUAGGCCUAACACAUGCAAGUCGAACGGCAGCACAGUAAGAGCUUGCUCUUACGGGUGGCGAGUGGCGGACGGGUGAGGAAUACAUCGGAAUCUACUUUUUCGUGGGGGAUAACGUAGGGAAACUUACGCUAAUACCGCAUACGACCUACGGGUGAAAGCAGGGGAUCUUCGGACCUUGCGCGAUUGAAUGAGCCGAUGUCGGAUUAGCUAGUUGGCGGGGUAAAGGCCCACCAAGGCGACGAUCCGUAGCUGGUCUGAGAGGAUGAUCAGCCACACUGGAACUGAGACACGGUCCAGACUCCUACGGGAGGCAGCAGUGGGGAAUAUUGGACAAUGGGCGCAAGCCUGACGCAGCCAUACCGCGUGGGUGAAGAAGGCCUUCGGGUUGUAAAGCCCUUUUGUUGGGAAAGAAAAGCAGCAGGUUAAUACCCCGCUGUUCUGACGGUACCCAAAGAAUAAGCACCGGCUAACUUCGUG